This 320-nucleotide unclassified non-coding RNA is filed under the name Commiphora gracilifrondosa. Its description in RNAcentral is "partial miscellaneous RNA". The record is from RNAcentral. Lineage: Eukaryota; Viridiplantae; Streptophyta; Magnoliopsida; Sapindales; Burseraceae.
CCUUCGCGACGCCGACGCCCGCAUGACACCCGACGGGCCGUGAGGCCGCGGGCUCAAGACGAGCACGACAGUCGUUCGCGUCGAGGGACAAAUGCGUUGCUCGGGCAAACGGAGUCCCGAAAGACCCCACGCCCGCGCGUAACGUUCUGCAUCCGCGAGAACGGGCAGAGCACACCGUGGGCCGAGGCAGCCGAGCGGCUUGCCGGGGACACGGGGCGUGCCUUAUGUCCACCCCGCAACCCGCGAGGGCUGGGGGCGGAGAGGGACGACCGAGACCGUCGGAUUCCUUUCGACAGGUAAGCAACACAGGAAUACCGAAA